UUAUUAUAUAUAAAGAAUUAAGUUACUAACAAUAAUAUCUUCAGUAAUAACUUUGUAGAAAAACUCAGGUUAUCCAAAAAAUUUAUUUAUAUAUAGAGACUCACCCAAAAGGCCAUGAUUGAAUGUUCUAUUGUUAGUAACUCAAUUCUUUAUAUAUUGAUAAAAUUUUAUCACUUGUUUCGAUGUAGGACUAGGAUAGUACAAACUCUCCUUAUUAAAUUUUUGACGUUCUCGUCUGAAUCGAUUACACACACAACCCAUAUAUCUUUGUCUCUAUAGCCAUUAUGAAAUAAUACUGUCUGUCUUCGUGUCCCCACCUUCGAACCUCUCUCCAUUGUGAAAUAAUACCAUCAACCUUCGUGUCCCCACCUUCAAUAACUCGAUUCGAGAGUCGACUCUGAAACCAAACGUAACAAUUCGGGUCAAAUCACGAGUUCGAAAUAAAUCUGGGUCAAAUCACAAGUUCGAAUCGAAUCAUAUCCAUCCAAACAAUAUAUAAAAACACUAGCCCAAUAGUAUCGUCUUAGAUCAUUUUAGCCCAUCACAUAGAUCAUUUUAGCCCAUCACAUACUCACCUAAAAGGUCAUAACUGAAUGUACUAUUGUUAAUAACUUAAUUAUUUAUAUACAAAUAAAUUUUUCUCACAUGUUUUAAUGUGACAUUGGGAUAUUACAACUUUAGCCUUUUAUUCAUAAUUGUUACAAUUAUUAUCUGUCUACAGGUGUAAUUUUUUCAUUACCUAAUGUUGACAAUAUACGAAAAAGUAAAGUAAAAUAAUAAUUACUUUUAUGUGAAAUUAUAAUUCUUUACUCCUCAUUUCAAAACAUAAGUCAUUUUAAAUUUAUAAAGUUAGUUAAUUUAAAAAAUUUAUAACGAUAAAAAUUGAUAUAAAUUUAUUUAGUUUGAAUUAAUAUAAUUAUAAAUAUUAUAAAUUAUUUAAACAGUAAUACUACUAAGUUUAGUACAACAAUUAUUAAUUUCAAUAAUAAAAUAUAUCACGUUAGUUUUAAAUUUUAAAAACGUCUCAAAAUGACUUUAAAUAAUCAAAAUUGUUCUUAUAUUUUGAACAAGUAGCUUGUAUCAUUUACUACGUUACAAUUUAUUUAUUUAUUAUCUAAUUUUUAUAUUAUCAAUUAAUUAAAUAAUAAUUAAUAUGUAACAACACAAUUUUAAGUAUGAUAGUUUUCUUAUGUAGAUGAUGUUUAACAAGUUCCAAUCGCCAAUUCAUUCAAGCAUUUAUCUAAAUUUUAGUAUGAUUUAUGGUGCUUUGCAUAUGCAAAAUGCCUAACACCUGACUUUGCCUGGGCAGAUUAAUAAACUGGAGUUUAGGUGAGGGUAGUUUGAAGGCUAGAAUUAUUUUAUUAAUUAAGAAUUAUAGUUUAUAGAUUACUUAAACACAAAUGACAAUCUAUUUACAUAUUUAACAUCAAACAUUGUUGUAAACUUAACUAAAAUAGAAAAAUUGUUCUUUAGAUAAAAAAACACCUAAAACGCGAGUCUGACAUAUAAUCUAUCUAGAAAACUGAUAUUUUCACAAGAUUUUUUUGAUAUUUAUACAUGAAAAGCGUCGUUAUAGAUGUAUAGCGACGGUUUUUACCGUCGCUAUACAUCUAUAGCGACACUUUUCAUAUAAAAAUAUCAAAAAAAUAUGUGAAAAUAUCAAUUUCCUCUAUCUAUUGGUUAGAUUCUCAUAAUCUUUAUGAAAAAUAAACCUUAAUCUUCUUGAUAUUUAGUAUAACAAAUAUGUAUUUAACGAUAUUUUUAUAAUUAUUCUAGCGACAUUCGUUAUCAUAACAUAAUAAGUCCCAAUGCGCUUUCUCAAUAACAUAUUCUUGGGUCAUCUUACCUCACCAUAUACUCAUCCAAAAGAUUCUAACAAAUUAAAGAUAUUAAUGAUAACAACUUUGAGUGCUUAUAUACAUAUUCAAAUAUCUCAUAUGUUAAGAGAGAUGAGACUGAAAUGUUAUAUUUAUUGCUCGAUUUAAAAAUACUUAUUAUUUUUGUUUAUAUAAUAUCAACACUCUAAUAUUUUUAUUUCAUUAAAAUGGCAAUACUACUAUAAUGUACUUCAUCCGUCCCAUAAUACAUGACGUUUUAGAGUUGUACAUAAAAAUUAAGAAAAUAAUUAUAUAGCAUUAAAUAUAGUAUUAAUCGUCUAUAAUACCAUUUACUAUAUAUUUAUCUCACACUCUCUCUCAUCUGUAACAUUUUUCAAUAAGGAAUAAUUUUUAAAAAAUUAUAAUUAAUUUUUUUAAAUUAUAUAAAACGUCAAAUAAUUUAAAAAAAAAUCAUCAAAAACAUCAUAUAUUAUUUUAUGGCACAGAUGAAGUAUUAUUAUUACACUAAGGGGGGUGUAUUCAAUUAAGAUUUUUAAAGACUUUUUUUAAGUAACAUACUUUUGUAAAAUUUGUGAAAUUUUAAUGACUUUCAAAGAUUUUAAAGACUUUUUUAAAAUGACUUUUAUAGACUCUAUGAAAUAAGUACCAUACUUUUAUAAAUUUUUUAUCAAGACUGUGAUAGACUUUUGUAUACUUCUAAUAUAUCUUGCAACUUAUAUUAAUUGUUAAUUAGCCCAAGUGUACAACAUCUCCCUCUUUUUUCAUGAACUAGCGUAAAUCUCAUUAUAUUAUUGUGGCAUGAGAUUUUAUAUAUGUUGAAAGCGUUCAUAUUAUUCUACUCAUUUAAUAAUACAUUUGGAUACUCGGAUACUAAUAAAACUUUAAAAAUUACAGACGCAAUACAAAAAUUAAACUCACUUUUCAUUGAGCUAUAUAUACUUUAUGCAUAUGCGUACGCUUAUUUGGAAUUAUUGUUUUUCAUUCCAGUCUACAAAAGUUGUCAUCAAUACUUAUUUACGUAACUAGCAAUUAAAAAAUUAAGGCUUAAAUAUGAAUUACUACCUUAAACUAUAUGUCAUAUUCCACUUCGAUGAUUCACCUUUCAAUUUUGUCAAUUAGAUAAUUAAACUAUCAAUUUUUUUUAAUUGCAACAAAUUGAAUAUGCCACGUCAGCAAUUGCUGACGUGGCUAAUUGUGUAGGGUCUUAAGAAGUUGGUGUGGCAAAAAAAAUAAUUUUUUAAUCAUAAAAUAAACAAAUUUAAUUUAAUAUGGGGCAAAAUGGUCAAAACACAAAUUAACAUAAAAACAUAUCCUUAUAUCAGAUCAUAUACAAAAGCCCCAAAUCCAACUACUGUCGAAUGGUUUCGAGAAUCACUGUUUUCCUCUCCGGCGGAAUUAUCGGCACUAAAAUGGGGAACAUUCCUUUUGGAAGGCACUAAAAAGUGCAAAAUGAAACUCACAUGUUGGGACAGAAGGAAUACAAAUGUAUGCCCACCCGAACAUUCACAAAUUUGGCAGAUAUCAGAAAAUAAAAACAUAAACAGGCAAUCUGAAAGAAAAAAAAAACAUAUAUUGUUCUAAUGCACAAAUAUUAGAAUUAUAACAAAAAAUAAGUGCAUAUAUAUUAGAUACAAUUCAUUAAUUAACAUAAAUAGUAGAAUUAAGGGUAAUAGAUGUACCACUGUCUGAAGAAGACUAGGACGACGAUGACGAAUUGUUGUCAGUCAUGAAGGAGAAGAGUUUUAUUGCACCGCCAUAGAUCAUUCGGGAAGCACCAGGGAAAAUGAGUCCUGUAAACCAAUUAUUACUGCUGGUGUUUUCGAGAGGAGGGCGGUCGUAUGGUAUUUUGGCGGCGAGUUUUCGCCUGUGUCUUAAAAUCUUUCCGCCGGAUCUGCCACUGGCGGUGGUUUGAACCCUAGAAUUUGGACUCGCCUCUGUCUUAAAAUCUUCCCGCCGGAUCUGUCACCGGCGGUGGUUUGAACCCUAGAAUUUGUGUUUACAGCGACUUCAGGGGAGAGAAACCUAGAAUUUGUGUCCAUACAUUUGUUAAUUUGUGUUUUAGCCAUGUCGACAAUUGCUG
Molecule: long non-coding RNA, 3918 nt
Filed under: Panax ginseng (ginseng)
Lineage: Eukaryota; Viridiplantae; Streptophyta; Magnoliopsida; Apiales; Araliaceae
Description: long non-coding RNA (PGIN_LNC004644)
Source: RNAcentral